This is an RNA transcript of Chelmon rostratus (copperband butterflyfish), 4405 nucleotides long. It is a transcript of the gene named Rho guanine nucleotide exchange factor (GEF) 1a, with no coding region annotated. The record is from RefSeq and is a predicted model, not a curated record. Lineage: Eukaryota; Metazoa; Chordata; Actinopteri; Chaetodontiformes; Chaetodontidae. The transcript is spliced from 25 exons.
CAUUGCAGUUGGCCGGUGAGGAAAGAUUUUUAGCUCUUUCUCUUCAGUAGGGAUCUGAGGGAUCCACAGAGAAGCAUUAAUAUUGGAUAUUUUUAUUUUCUGACUGCCAUUUGAAUCCACCAUUGGCCACCAUUGUGAGAAAAUACAGCUGUCAAAAUGUCCAGAGUUGCCAAUCUGUCGAAGCUGCGGCAAGAAAGGAUGAGGGAAAUCAACCUGCGGAAUAAAGAGAGAGAGCGGAUGCGGGAACGUGAGAAGGCGGCAAGGGAGAGGGAGGCACGUUACAGCAACGGUCACCUCUUCACCUCGUUGACAGUUUCAGGAACCACGCUCUGUUCUGCAUGCAGCAAGAGUAUUACUGCCAAGGAGGCACUCAGCUGCCCUACAUGCAAUGUCACGAUCCACAACCGCUGUCGAGACACCUUGCCAAACUGUGCCAAAAUGAAACAGAGGCAGCAGAAGACAGCCCUAAUGCGGAAUAACUCAGCCUUGCAGAAUGUCACCCUGCGCACAAAAACUCCAGGAAUGCGUGAGCGUCCAAGUUCAGCCAUCUACCCUUCUGACAGCUUCCGACAGUCCCUGCUAGGAUCCCGUCGUGGUCGGUCCAGCCUAUCCCUGUCCAAGAGUGUCUCCACCAACAACAUUGCAGGGCCUUUGAAUGACGACUCUCCCCUGGGACUGCGCAGGAUUCUGUCCCAGUCAACAGACUCCCUCAGCUUCAGGACCAGAGCUAUGUCAGUGGAGUCUCUCACUGAUGAUGGAGACAUCUACUAUGUCUCAGUCUUGGAGGAGAUGGAGUUCGAGGGCCAGGACUUUAAAGCUGACUCAUGGAGCAUGGCCGUGGACAGCAGUUACUUGCAGACACACCGCAAAAAUGUCAUAAAGAGGCAGGAUGUCAUCUAUGAGCUGAUUCAGACCGAGCUGCACCACAUGCGAACGCUGCAAAUCAUGGAAAGGGUGUUCCGACAGGGCAUGCUGGAGGAGCUUCAGCUGGACCCAGGCACUGUACAUGCCAUUUUCCCCUGCCUGGAUCAGCUAACCAGGAUACAUUCCCAUUUCCUGGCACAACUUCUCCUGCGGCGCAAUAAUAGCCUGCAGUCUGGGUCCAGCCGCAACUUUACCAUUCACCAGCUGGGAGACAUACUACUAGAACAGUUUUCAGGCCAGUGUGCAGACGACAUGCGCAAGACUUAUGCUGAAUUCUGCAGCCGCCACUUGAAGGCUGUGAAAUUCUACAAGGAACUGCUGGCCAGAGACAAGCGGUUCCAGUGCUUCAUACGGUCUUUGUGUCUGUCUGUCUCUGGCCAGCGGGUGAGUCGAGGACCCUUGCUACGUUGCCAUGGUGUUCAGGAAUGCAUCUUGUUGGUGACUCAGCGGAUAUCCAAGUAUCCUGUCCUUAUCCAGCGAAUUCUGGACAACACCUCCGAUGAUGAAGAGGAAGCUUCUUCUCUGGCCCAGGCUCUUUUGAUGAUCAGAGAACUUCUUAGUUCAAUAGACCAACAGAUGGAGGACUUGGAGAAAACACAGCGGCUGCAAGAGAUCCAGGCCAAGCUGGACCCGCGGGCUGAAACAAGAGUAAGGGAUGGGGGACUAUUCAAGCCUUCAGAGUUGCUCCGCCGGAGACUUGUCCAUGAAGGGACCCUGUUAUGGAAAACCCCAGGAUCCCGGCUCAAAGAUACACAGGUCUUGCUGAUGACAGACAUCCUAGUGUUUCUGCAGGAGAAAGACCAGAGGUACAUCUUUCCAUGUCUGGACAAGCCUCCAGUGCUGUCUCUUCAGAACCUGAUAGUGAGGGAUAUAGCCAAUCAGGAGCGAGGCAUGUUUCUCAUCAGUGAUUCCUCCCCUCCUGAGAUGUAUGAGUUCCAUGCUGCCUCCAAGGAGGACAAGAACGUUUGGAUACGCCACAUUCAGCGUACCGUCAGCAAAUGCCCAUCAAGAGAGGAGUUCCCCCUCAUAGAGACUGAACACAAGGCCCAUCUGAGGAGACUCAAAGCUGACCUCCAGCAGAAGGACCGGGAAAUGCUGGAGCUCCUGCAGGAGAGGGUGACUCUAUUCUGUGAGCUGGCAGAGUUGACAAGUGGCCAGGAGGGCCUACAGCCUCCCAUCACCCGUUAUUUGUUCAGGGCAGACACACCACAAGCUCCCCGUGCAGAGAAACUCCUACUGGAUGCCACAGCUGAGGUGGACAGGUUGAGUGAGCUCCUUCUGGGCUCCACCGUGGAUGGAUGGAUUGCUCUUCCGUGCCAUCACAACCACGUGGAGGUGGUAGAAACCAGACUUGUACUGAGUGAGUGCUGUGUUUGUCUCUGCUCAGGUGAUCAGGAUUUGUUGGCCAAUGGAGGCCACGAUUUCUUUGCAGUAAAGGACGGCAUGAGGGGUCAAGACAAUCCACCACCCACGGAAAUCUGUCAGAAGUUGAUGAAUCUCAGUGUUUAUCUCCAUGCACUCCAGGGUGCUGUAAUCAAACAAGACUCCAUCUUGGAGCUGCUGCUGCAGCCACAGGACACUGUGAUGCCAGCUGUAGGAGGAGUGUGGCGUCCUCUCUGGCGAGAUAGUGGAAAUCGGGAGACCAGUGCUGGAUCAACCAUUGGGGAGCUGGCUCUUUUGCAGAGACAACAUAGCCUUUUGCAGGAGGAGCUGCUGAGGCUGCGUGAUGCAGAGAGUCGGUUCAAGGACAGUGAGAAGGCCCGGGUCAAGCUGGAGCGGCAGGUCCGACACAUGAAGAUCUGCAGCGGGGUUGCACCUGCCUCCCAGCAAAUGAGGGAGCAGGCUUUUCAACCUGUAUCUCUGCAGCCAGGAAGGGAGGUCUUAGCUGGAGCUAGCAUCAUGGGGGGCAGCCAGGAACCUGCCCGCCAGUCACAUGGUGUCCAGGACAGCAGUGACCUGGAGAUAGACAUGACAUCAGAUGAUGAUGAUGGGACAGCAUCUGAAAGUUCCAAAGGUUGUAAAUCAGGGAUGUAGAAGGCUGUGUCAGUAUGCCGCGAUAUCACUGGAUGUGGUUAUCUCUGACCACAACAUGGGUCCACUUAUUAGAAGAUCUUCAAGAUAUUCCAGAGGAGAUCUGAUCUUUGGCAUGUUUCAUAGUGCUUCUGAGUUGGAAACUGUAAUUGAUUAUGAUGUAACAUAAUUGACUCCAACUACGCACAGUGGUGUGCUUUCUAGCCAAUAGGCCACAAAGCACAACAAUGUGCACCUCUGUCUUUUCAGCAAGCCUUAAUGUUCAUUUAUCUGCUUUGCUUUUUUAGUAGACAGCUUGUGACAGUGAGUUGUUUUACUUUUCAGUUAUGCUUUGGCUUAUUGGAUUGGAUUUCCUUGAUUUAAUUGCAUCACUUGACCAAAGGGGUGUGAAAACUUAUAGAUAUUACAAAUGUUUAACUAUUAAAUCUCAAGAUUAGGAAAAAAAAAUGAACAUUAGGACUAAUGAAUAAAUCAGCCACUGUUUUCAGUUUAAGCAUGUAAACCAGUUGUUUUUAUGUUGCGCAAAAGUAGCUGCAAUCAUAUUCGUCUAAAACAAGGAGGACUCAGAUGCUGAUCUGUCUUUGGUAACAAACUAUGAAAUAGGCCAGAUUAUGUGAAUAAAAUACUGGCAAGUAUUUACUCAAUCUCAUUUAAACUCUACUUCAUUUAUUUUUAUGGAUUUGCAACUGACGCACACACAGUAAUAAAUAUUUUGGCCUAUUCAUAACAGCAGCAAGCACAAUGCCAAUUAAAAGAAAGAAUUUUGUUAGAACUGUACCUGAAAAAUGUGGUUGAAACUACUAACAGCUGUCAGUCCUACGUUUUUGGUCCUAUUUAAACAUUUAAUGGUACAGUGAAACAUUUCACAGUAAAUAAGGUUCUAACCUAAUUUUAGGUAUAUAGUUGCUGUAAUGAUUGUAAUUCAUUGUGUAAUCCAAAAUGUAAAAAAAAUGUGACAAUGUGAAAGGGAAUGCUUGUUCUAAUUAACCUUCAGGGAAUUUUCAGAGCUUUAUACUGAGUUUCAGCUCAUUGUUUCAUAACAAGGGGCUGGUCCAAGGCAAGCCUGAGCCAGCCCAAAAUGUAAGUUUUAUCAAAAAGUUUUGAGCCUGCUCUUAUAUGUAGAGAGGGUGUCUGCCUCCCAGACAAUAGCUGGACUAGCUUUUCUGCAUUAUUUUGAGACAGGAAGUGCCUGAUCUGAUUUUUACAAUGUUACGUAGGUGGAAAAAGGCAGUCCUUGAAAUUUUUUUUACAGGGGAGUGAAACGACAUAUCCUGAUCAAAGAUGACUCCCAGAUUCCUUACAGUUGUACUGGGGGCCAGCGCUAUGCCAUCCAUAGUUACUAUCUCAUCAGAUAGUGAAUUUCUAAGGUGUUUAGGCCCAAAUACGAUAACUUUAGUUUUGUCUGAAUUCAACAACAAAAAAUCGCAGGUCAUCCAGGUCUUUAUUUCCU